RNAcentral lists this ribosomal RNA (426 nucleotides) under uncultured bacterium. Its description in RNAcentral is "bacterial SSU rRNA". It matches the Rfam family "Bacterial small subunit ribosomal RNA", at positions 356 to 773 of the family's 1533-position model. The record is from RNAcentral.
AGGGAAUCUUCCGCAAUGGACGCAAGUCUGACGGAGCAACGCCGCGUGAGUGAUGAAGGUCUUCGGAUCGUAAAGCUCUGUUGUUAGUGAAGAACAAGUACCGUUCAAAUAGGCCGGUACCUUGACGGUAACUAACGAGAAAGCCACGGCUAACUACGUGCCAGCAGCCGCGGUAAUACGUAGGUGGCAAGCGUUGUCCGGAAUUAUUGGGCGUAAAGGGCGCGCAGGCGGCCGAUUAAGUCUGAUGUGAAAUCCCACGGCUUAACCGUGGAAGGUCAUUGGAAACUGAUUGGCUUGAGUGCAGAAGAGGAGAGUGGAAUUCCACGUGUAGCGGUGGAAUGCGUAGAUAUGUGGAGGAACACCAGUGGCGAAGGCGGCUCUCUGGUCUGCAACUGACGCUGAGGCGCGAAAGCGUGGAUAGCAAAC